UACAGAGGGUGCAAGCGUUGUUCGGAAUUAUUGGGCGUAAAGAGCUCGUAGGCGGUCUGUCGCGUCGGCUGUGAAAUCCCGAGGCUCAACCUCGGGUCUGCAGUCGAUACGGGCAAACUAGAGUAUUGCAGGGGAGACUGGAAUUCCUGGUGUAGCGGUGAAAUGCGCAGAUAUCAGGAGGAACACCGGUGGCGAAGGCGGGUCUCUGGGCAAUAACUGACGCUGAGGAGCGAAAGCGUGGGGAGCGAACAGG
Molecule: ribosomal RNA, 253 nt
Filed under: uncultured bacterium
Lineage: Bacteria
Description: partial 16S ribosomal RNA
Rfam family: Bacterial small subunit ribosomal RNA
Source: RNAcentral